Molecule: ribosomal RNA, 467 nt
Filed under: uncultured bacterium
Lineage: Bacteria
Description: partial 16S ribosomal RNA
Rfam family: Bacterial small subunit ribosomal RNA
Source: RNAcentral
UAGGGAAUCUUCCACAAUGGACGCAAGUCUGAUGGAGCAACGCCGCGUGAGUGAAGAAGGUCUUCGGAUCGUAAAGCUCUGUUGUUGGUGAAGAAGGAUAGAGGCAGUAACUGGUCUUUAUUUGACGGUAAUCAACCAGAAAGUCACGGCUAACUACGUGCCAGCAGCCGCGGUAAUACGUAGGUGGCAAGCGUUGUCCGGAUUUAUUGGGCGUAAAGCGAGCGCAGGCGGAAUGAUAAGUCUGAUGUGAAAGCCCACGGCUCAACCGUGGAACUGCAUCGGAAACUGUCAUUCUUGAGUGCAGAAGAGGAGAGUGGAACUCCAUGUGUAGCGGUGGAAUGCGUAGAUAUAUGGAAGAACACCAGUGGCGAAGGCGGCUCUCUGGUCUGCAACUGACGCUGAGGCUCGAAAGCAUGGGUAGCGAACAGGAUUAGAUACCCUGGUAGUCCAUGCCGUAAACGAUGAGC